RNAcentral lists this ribosomal RNA (462 nucleotides) under uncultured soil bacterium. RNAcentral's name for it is "bacterial SSU rRNA". It matches the Rfam family "Bacterial small subunit ribosomal RNA", at positions 26 to 518 of the family's 1533-position model. The record is from RNAcentral.
AGCCUGAACGCUGGCGGCGUGGCUAAGACAUGCAAGUCGUACGGACCCGCAAGGGUCAGUGGCGAACGGGAGAGUAAUGAAUCGCUAAUGUGCCCCGGACUCUGGGAUAGCUACCCGAAAGGGUAGGUAAUACCAGAUGAUAUACCUUUACCGCAUGGUAGAGAUCUCAAAGGUCCGCCGGUCUGGGAGCAGGCGAUUUCGUAUCAGCUAGUUGGUGAGGUAACGGCUCACCAAGGCGACGACGCGUAGCCGGACUGAGAGGUUGGCCGGCCUCAUUGGGACUGAGACACUGCCCAGACUCCUACGGGGGGCUGCAGUAACGAAUCUUCCGCAAUGCACGAAAGUGUGACGGAGCGACGCCGCGUGUAGGACGAAGCCCUUCGGGUGUAAACUACUGUCAGGGGUUAGAAAGUUCUGAUCAACCCCAGAGGAAGGCACGGCUAACUCUGUGCCAGCAGCCGC